AGUUGUAAAGCGUAGGUUCAGUGAGUGUCAGUAAGGUAGUACUGCGUUCAUCCUUGUGGCACUGACACCUCCCUGCCAAACUCACUCACAACCUCCCCCAACCUCCAGCCCACACCAACCCCUCGACAUCUCUGCUACAACAACUACAACUACAACAACAGCAGCAGCCAUGGAGGGUGACCUGAGCAAAGCUGACUCCAGAGCUGUCUUCUUCACCGUCCAUGACAUGGGCAGCAACCAUUCGUCGUGGGUGGAGUUCGUGGAGCACCCGGUGAUGAAGGAGACCAAGGACCGCUCGGUCUUCAUUCACGUCGACAUACCCGGCCAGGAGGACGGCGCCCCGGACCUGCCCAACGAGUGAGUACUUACUGCGUUGCUUCUCUUACUCAUUACUCA
Non-coding RNA from Cherax quadricarinatus, 396 nucleotides. Lineage: Eukaryota; Metazoa; Arthropoda; Malacostraca; Decapoda; Parastacidae. The record is from RefSeq and is a predicted model, not a curated record.